Molecule: ribosomal RNA, 925 nt
Filed under: uncultured Prevotella sp.
Lineage: Bacteria; Pseudomonadati; Bacteroidota; Bacteroidia; Bacteroidales; Prevotellaceae
Description: bacterial SSU rRNA
Rfam family: Bacterial small subunit ribosomal RNA
Source: RNAcentral
AGAGUUUGAUCCUGGCUCAGGAUGAACGCUAGCUACAGGCUUAACACAUGCAAGUCGAGGGGUAACGACAGCGAAAGCUUGCUUUUGCUGGGCGACGACCGGCGCACGGGUGAGUAACGCGUAUCCAACCUGCCCAUAACUAAGGGAUAAUCCGUAGAAAUGCGGUCUAAUACCUUAUGUGUUCCGACGAAGACAUCUGAAUUGGAAUAAAGAUUUAUCGGUUAUGGAUGGGGAUGCGUCUGAUUAGAUUGUUGGCGGGGCAACGGCCCACCAAGUCUACGAUCAGUAGGGGUUCUGAGAGGAAGGUCCCCCACAUUGGAACUGAGACACGGUCCAAACUCCUACGGGAGGCAGCAGUGAGGAAUAUUGGUCAAUGGGCGAGAGCCUGAACCAGCCAAGUAGCGUGCAGGACGACGGCCCUAUGGGUUGUAAACUGCUUUUGUAUGGGAAUAAAGUGCUCCACGUGUGGAGUUUUGUAGGUACCAUACGAAUAAGGACCGGCUAAUUCCGUGCCAGCAGCCGCGGUAAUACGGAAGGUCCGGGCGUUAUCCGGAUUUAUUGGGUUUAAAGGGAGCGUAGGCCGUGGAUUAAGUGUGUUGUGAAAUGUAGGCGCUCAACGUCUGACUUGCAGCGCAUACUGGUCCACUUGAGUGCGCGCAACGCGGGCGGAAUUUGUCGUGUAGCGGUGAAAUGCUUAGAUAUGACGAAGAACCCCGAUUGCGAAGGCAGCUCGCGGGAGCGCAACUGACGCUGAAGCUCGAAAGUGCGGGUAUCGAACAGGAUUAGAUACCCUGGUAGUCCGCACGGUAAACGAUGGAUGCCCGCUUUUCGGUCAUUAGACCGUGAGGCCAAGUGAAAACAUUAAGCAUCCCACCUGGGGAGUACGCCGGCAACGGUGAAACUCAAAGGAAUUGACGGGGGCCCG